This 948-nucleotide ribosomal RNA is filed under the name Triticum aestivum (bread wheat). RNAcentral's name for it is "partial small subunit ribosomal RNA". Lineage: Eukaryota; Viridiplantae; Streptophyta; Magnoliopsida; Poales; Poaceae. The record is from RNAcentral.
AUGGGACGCACCGCCUUGGUCAAGUCGGUGCUUGCCUCCCAAGCCAUAUACUUCAUCACUACGCUCGUCGUCCCCACAAGCACCCUCAAAAAUCCCAACAAGCUUGAGCGAGCGUUCCUUUGGGAGGGAACAGACAAGACCACCGGGGCCAAAUGCAAGGUUAAUUGGGACACCGUUUGCCGCCCAAUUGCCAAUGGGGGUCUUGGAGUGCUAAACACGGAGAAAUUCGCUAGGGCACUGAGGAUUCGUUGGAUUUGGUUUGAGUGGAAGGAGCCAACUAAGAUGUGGGUUGGCAUGGGCAACCCGUGCGAUGACGCAGACUACAACUUCUUCUAUGCCUCCUCAAUUAUUAUCGUGGGAAAUGGCGCGCGCGCCCCCUUUUGGGACUCUCCAUGGGUGCACAACCGCAAACCCAUGGAUUUGGCCCCUCUCAUCUACGCGGCGUCAACGAGGAAGAAUUGGAAGGUGCGGGAAGCACUAAAGGAUGGUGCUUGGGUUAAAAAGAUCAAGAUGACGUCCGAUUUUUCUAUAGAGCACUUCAGACAAUUUCUCGAGCAUUGGGCCACCAUCCGGGAUUUUCACCUACAGGAGGAUAUUGACGACGACAUUGUUUGGAAGCAUUCUACUAGUGGCCUCUACACGGUGGAGUCCGCCUACAAAGCGCAAUUUCUCGGCCUCAUUCGCUCUCCCUUGGAGCAUGCAGUGUGGAAAAUCUGGGCUCCACCCAAGGUCAAGUUCUUUGCUUGGUUGGCCAUCCAAAUAGAGUCUGGACUGCGGAUCGAUUGGCCAAGCGUGGUUGGCCUAACUGUGGCUCAUGCCCCCUAUGCAUGCGUGAGAAUGAAUCGGUUGACCAUCUCUUCUUCAAAUGUCGUUUCACCGUUCGCCUAUGGGGCUUGGUCAAGGCGUGGCUGCAACUCAUUCACAUUGACACCUCUACUUGGCCCCUGA